UCUUCAUUUCACGUGCUCUCUCACCGGUCAGAGAGAGACGAGAGAGUGUGUGAAAUGAAGAGA
Molecule: non-coding RNA, 63 nt
Organism: Pristionchus pacificus
Lineage: Eukaryota; Metazoa; Nematoda; Chromadorea; Rhabditida; Neodiplogasteridae
Source: Rfam